AACGAACGCUGGCGGCAUGCCUAACACAUGCAAGUCGAACGAGACCUUCGGGUCUAGUGGCGCACGGGUGCGUAACGCGUGGGAACCUGCCCUUAGGUUCGGAAUAACUCCCCGAAAGGGGUGCUAAUACCGGAUAAUGUCUUCGGCCCAAAGAUUUAUCGCCUUUGGAUGGUCCCGCGUUGGAUUAGCUAGUUGGUAGGGUAAAAGCCUACCAAGGCGACGAUCCAUAGCUGGUCUGAGAGGAUGAUCAGCCACACUGGGACUGAGACACGGCCCAGACUCCUACGGGAGGCAGCAGUGGGGAAUAUUGGACAAUGGGCGAAAGCCUGAUCCAGCAAUGCCGCGUGAGUGAUGAAGGCCUUAGGGUUGUAAAGCUCUUUUACCCGGGAUGAUAAUGACAGUACCGGGAGAAUAAGCUCCGGCUAACUCCGUG
This 433-nucleotide ribosomal RNA is filed under the name uncultured bacterium. RNAcentral's name for it is "partial 16S ribosomal RNA". It matches the Rfam family "Bacterial small subunit ribosomal RNA", at positions 29 to 507 of the family's 1533-position model. The record is from RNAcentral.